Dreissena polymorpha is the source of this 980-nucleotide long non-coding RNA. RefSeq lists it as uncharacterized. The transcript is spliced from 3 exons. The record is from RefSeq and is a predicted model, not a curated record. Lineage: Eukaryota; Metazoa; Mollusca; Bivalvia; Myida; Dreissenidae.
GAAAAAGGUUGCGAAGUUGCUUUUGUGUACAUGGUCACAUGAUCUGCAGGAAACACGUGGGCGUAUCAACUGCCACAUAAAAACUUUGUAGUAGAUCUUUACUUUUGUAUGAAAAUUAUGUAGCGCGUAGUUGUAAAAUAAGGUGAUCUUUACCGUAAACGAUACUUUUACAGAUAAAAUUUUGUAAAACAAGCAAAAUGCGCCUUAUUGGUUAUGCCUAUACGUCCCUGGUUAUGCUUUUUGUCUAUUAGGUAGUUCAGUGCUGAUUUGAUUUACAUUCACUGUACAUGUAUACACUCAAACAAGGACUGUGUGCAACACAUUUGCCAGAUUUCCGAUCCGGGACAUAUGGCAGGCCUUAGCUGCACCAGCUGCCAGAGGGGCUCCUAAAGGGAGAGGUGCCGCUGCCCCUGCAAAACCAGGGGCAGAAACUCCUGCUCUACCAGAAGCCAAAAAUAUCCAAUGAAGGAGGAGCCAACCAAAGAGGAGGCCGCCCCUUAACCAGCCCUUUAUUAGGCCCCGCCACAAUAAACACGAAGUCCUUCAGGCCCAGCCUUGGACUGGCCUGGGCACAUAGGACAGCCAAUGAGAUUCCAGAUGCCAAGAAAUAUUAUAAUGAGGUCAUCGCCAUAUCCCCAGAUGUAAAGGUUCUUUCAAAUUUUAAAGAAAUAUAAACAUUAAAUAAAGACGUGACACACUGAAAUUGUGAUUUACUGGUAGGUAAUAAGAUAGAUCAUCUAAAGUGUACAAAAGCAAUAUAUAUAUGUUCUUAUAAAAGCAUACAUAAUAUCUAUAUAUUUAAGAUUGCAUGCAUAUUAUUAAAUUCUGAUUUGUUAACUGUUUAUUGCAAGUCUGGACUACAUUAAAAUCAUUAAUUAUACGUUGAGAAUAUCACUAUUGAAAACGAAUUUUUAUCUGUGAACUUAUCGUGGUGUUCCAGUCCUUGCUGUCAUUAUGAAUAAAUCAAAACAAUUGUGAAA